Molecule: ribosomal RNA, 414 nt
Filed under: uncultured bacterium
Lineage: Bacteria
Description: bacterial SSU rRNA
Rfam family: Bacterial small subunit ribosomal RNA
Source: RNAcentral
UCGAGGAUCUUCGGCAAUGGGCGCAAGCCUGACCGAGCGACGCCGCGUGCGCGAUGAAGGCCUUCGGGUUGUAAAGCGCUGUCGUGGGGGAGAAAAGCCCGCAAGGGUUUGAUCUAUCCCAGGAGGAAGCACGGGCUAAGUUCGUGCCAGCAGCCGCGGUAAGACGAACCGUGCAAACGUUGUUCGGAAUCACUGGGCUUAAAGGGCGCGUAGGCGGGCUAGCCAGUCCGGGGUGAAAUCUUUCGGCUUAACCGGAAAAGUGCCUCGGAUACUGCUAGUCUGGAGGAAGGUAGGGGCAGGUGGAACUUCUGGUGGAGCGGUGAAAUGCGUUGAUAUCAGAAGGAACGCCGGUGGCGAAAGCGACCUGCUGGACCUUUUCUGACGCUGAGGCGCGAAAGCUAGGGGAGCAAACGG